This 29-nucleotide non-coding RNA is filed under the name Rattus norvegicus (Norway rat). The record is from RNAcentral. Lineage: Eukaryota; Metazoa; Chordata; Mammalia; Rodentia; Muridae.
UGAUGACAGGUAGUCUUGGUUUCUGUUGA